Molecule: long non-coding RNA, 408 nt
Organism: Penaeus monodon (black tiger shrimp)
Lineage: Eukaryota; Metazoa; Arthropoda; Malacostraca; Decapoda; Penaeidae
Exons: 3
Source: RefSeq, a predicted model, not a curated record
AGCCCUGUUUGUCGACGCCGGAAGGUUCGCGAGGGCAUUGUGGCGUCAGACUUCGAGGGAGGCACAAGCAGCGGCAUUGACCCCGUCCGUUACUCUGAGAAAUGCACCCACGUCUGCUUUUGGCAAGUGCUAGCGUAUGCGCGUGGGCGUGGGCGUACCUGGCCCUCGAGGCGACUGGCCAGGUGUACAUGGUGAGCCGGGAGAUGGACUGUGUGCCGUCGUAUGAGAACAGUCUUCUACAGCCGACGAGGUCGAAGAUCUUCUGCUCGGCAUUGUGUCUCUCGUUCCAAUGCUUGGCCUUCGCGUUCUCAGACGGCGAGUGCGACAUCCGGGGUGUCGGCUUCGAACUCCCCGCCGAGACGCGAGUGUACACGAAGUUCUCCCUCCCGCUCCUGUCUCCCUGCAGAU